GGGAAGGUGUUGGGUGCACGAUCCGGAGCAGUAGCCUUCGCUAAGGUGCUAUCUCAUUAACGGGUUGUGGUCCGCAUCGCUACUGAAACUCUAGCGGGCUACCAGUUACCUGCGUGUCUUUGUAAAGGCUUCGUAGUGGACCCCCCUAGCCACUCACCAAAGGAAGUGUUUAAGGGCUUUGCAAACCCGGGCGACACGGGGGACCACGAGUUGUGGGUAAAGUGUACAACCUCUGCAGAGUGAAAACUGAUAUAUCAGCCGUGCUCACGGUUAAGAGCGGCUUGGACCCUCACAUGAUAAUUGAACUUAAAGAUGAGAUUAAACUGUGUUACCUUUACCUUUGGGUUAAUGUUAAUGUUAUAUGCUUAAUUGGGUUGGUAUAAACCUACAUCUAGUAAUUAGGUGCUGCUAAAUAAAAUUUGACCAACUAAAAUGCUAAUCGCUUAAAGCCUUGAGCCAUUCCUCGUGAGCCUUGCAUGUUUCCC
This 485-nucleotide long non-coding RNA is filed under the name Setaria viridis. Its description in RNAcentral is "long non-coding RNA (SVIR_LNC002538)". Lineage: Eukaryota; Viridiplantae; Streptophyta; Magnoliopsida; Poales; Poaceae. The record is from RNAcentral.